RNAcentral lists this ribosomal RNA (484 nucleotides) under uncultured bacterium. Its description in RNAcentral is "bacterial SSU rRNA". It matches the Rfam family "Bacterial small subunit ribosomal RNA", at positions 23 to 518 of the family's 1533-position model. The record is from RNAcentral.
CUCAGGAUGAACGCUAGCGACCGGCCUAACACAUGCAAGUCGAGGGGCAGCGCGGAGUAGCAAUACUUGGCGGCGACCGGCGCACGGGUGAGUGACACGUAUGCAACCAACCCAUAACAGGGGGAUAACCCGGAGAAAUCCGGACUAAUACCGCAUAAGACCACGAUAUCGCAUGAUAUAGAGGUCAAAUAUUUAUAGGUUAUGGACGGGCAUGCGUCUGAUUAGCUAGUUGGUAAGGUAACGGCUUACCAAGGCGACGAUCAGUAGCCGGCCUGAGAGGGUGAACGGCCACACUGGAACUGAGACACGGUCCAGACUCCUACGGGAGGCAGCAGUGGGGAAUAUUGCACAAUGGAGGGAACUCUGAUGCAGCGACGCCGCGUGAGUGAAGAAGGUCUUCGGAUCGUAAAACUCUGUCCUUGGUGAAGAAGAAAAUGACGGUAGCCAAGGAGGAAGCCCCGGCUAACUACGUGCCAGCCGCCGC